UGCCCGGUGGUGUAAUGGUAACACUGCGGAUUUUGAUUCCGCCAUUUCUGGUUCGAGUCCAGGCCGGGUAA
This 71-nucleotide transfer RNA is filed under the name Planctomycetaceae bacterium TMED10. Its description in RNAcentral is "tRNA-Gln". It matches the Rfam family "tRNA". From Rfam's summary of the family: Transfer RNA (tRNA) molecules are approximately 80 nucleotides in length. Their secondary structure includes four short double-helical elements and three loops (D, anti-codon, and T loops). Further hydrogen bonds mediate the characteristic L-shaped molecular structure. tRNAs have two regions of fundamental functional importance: the anti-codon, which is responsible for specific mRNA codon recognition, and the 3' end, to which the tRNAs corresponding amino acid is attached (by aminoacyl-tRNA synthetases). tRNAs cope with the degeneracy of the genetic code in two manners: having more than one tRNA (with a specific anti-codon) for a particular amino acid; and 'wobble' base-pairing, i.e. permitting non-standard base-pairing at the 3rd anti-codon position. RNAcentral also lists the same sequence under 3 other names. The record is from RNAcentral. Lineage: Bacteria; Pseudomonadati; Planctomycetota; Planctomycetia; Planctomycetales; Planctomycetaceae.